ACUUUGAAUCAAAUAUGCUAAACAAAAGUUAUGACCAUUAUAGCUGACUCCAAAGGACUUGAAAAACAACACACUAAUAACAGCACUCAAUUCCAUUAUCUACCACAGAAACUAAAUAACAAGGCUAACAUGUUUAACUCUGCUCCUCAGCUUCUGGAGCCACCUCCCUCUCCUCUGCAGCAGCAGCCAUUAACUCGUCGAAGUUCUCAGUUUUCCCCAACACUAUCUCAAUCUUAGCCUUCUGGAUAGGCCUUCCUCUGGACUCAUCCUUCAUAUCAACUGUCGAUGUCAUAAUUUUCUUUUCGACAGCAAGCCCGUUGUUUUUUAAGAUCUCCGCAAUGGUUACAACAGUAGCAAUUGCCAUCCCGAGAGCCGAGAGCUCCACUUCAUUAUGCUGCUGCAUGUACCGCUUCGCCAGAUUGACGUAG
Molecule: unclassified non-coding RNA, 428 nt
Filed under: Hevea brasiliensis (rubber tree)
Lineage: Eukaryota; Viridiplantae; Streptophyta; Magnoliopsida; Malpighiales; Euphorbiaceae
Source: RNAcentral